AUUGAACGCUGGCGGCAGGCCUAACACAUGCAAGUCGAACGGUAACAGGAAGAAGCUUGCUUCUUUGCUGACGAGUGGCGGACGGGUGAGUAAUGUCUGGGAAACUGCCUGAUGGAGGGGGAUAACUACUGGAAACGGUAGCUAAUACCGCAUAACGUCGCAAGCCCAAAGAGGGGGACCUUCGGGCCCCUUGCCAUCGGCUUUGCCCAGAUGGGAUUAGCUAGUAGGUGGGGUAACGGCUCACCUAGGCGACGAUCCGUAGCUGGUCUGAGAGGAUGACCAGCCACACUGGAACUGAGACACGGUCCAAACUCCUACGGGAGGCAGCAGUGGGGAAUAUUGCACAAUGGGCGCAAACCUGAUGCAGCCAUGCCGCGUGUAUGAAGAAGGCCUUCGGGUUGUAAAGUACUUUCAGCGGGGAGGAAGGGAGUAAAGUUAAUACCUUUGCUCAUUGACGUUACCCGCAGAAGAAGCACCGGCUAACUCCGUG
Molecule: ribosomal RNA, 490 nt
Filed under: uncultured bacterium
Lineage: Bacteria
Description: partial 16S ribosomal RNA
Rfam family: Bacterial small subunit ribosomal RNA
Source: RNAcentral